RNAcentral lists this transfer RNA (66 nucleotides) under Loxoblemmus doenitzi. RNAcentral describes it as "tRNA-Ser". Lineage: Eukaryota; Metazoa; Arthropoda; Insecta; Orthoptera; Gryllidae. The record is from RNAcentral.
GAAAUAAGAUGAUCAAAAGUGAGCUGCUAACUUAUCUUUUAGCGGUUAAAUUCCGUUGUUAUUUCU